This 200-nucleotide ribosomal RNA is filed under the name uncultured bacterium. RNAcentral describes it as "partial 16S ribosomal RNA". It matches the Rfam family "Bacterial small subunit ribosomal RNA", at positions 8 to 205 of the family's 1533-position model. The record is from RNAcentral.
AGAGUUUGAUCCUGGCUCAGAACGAACGCUGGCGGCGUGCCUAACACAUGCAAGUCGAACGCGAGGCGCCCUUUCGGGGGCGUAGUAGAGUGGCGCACGGGUGAGUAACACGUAGACAACCUGCCUUCGAGCCCGGGAUAACCUUUCGAAAGAAGGGCUAAUACCGGAUAACACUUUGGGGCGCAUGCCCUGAAGUUGAA